GGGCGAGUGGCGGAAAGGCAGACGCUGGGGACUUAAAAUCCCCUUCCCGCAAACUCGGGAGUGAGGGUUCGAAUCCCUCCUCGCCCA
RNAcentral lists this transfer RNA (87 nucleotides) under Planctomycetota bacterium. Its description in RNAcentral is "tRNA-Leu". It matches the Rfam family "tRNA". Rfam says of the family: Transfer RNA (tRNA) molecules are approximately 80 nucleotides in length. Their secondary structure includes four short double-helical elements and three loops (D, anti-codon, and T loops). Further hydrogen bonds mediate the characteristic L-shaped molecular structure. tRNAs have two regions of fundamental functional importance: the anti-codon, which is responsible for specific mRNA codon recognition, and the 3' end, to which the tRNAs corresponding amino acid is attached (by aminoacyl-tRNA synthetases). tRNAs cope with the degeneracy of the genetic code in two manners: having more than one tRNA (with a specific anti-codon) for a particular amino acid; and 'wobble' base-pairing, i.e. permitting non-standard base-pairing at the 3rd anti-codon position. Lineage: Bacteria; Pseudomonadati; Planctomycetota. The record is from RNAcentral.